CGCCUGGGGAGUACGGGUGAGGUAACGGCUCACCAAGGCAUCGACGGGUAGCUGGUCUGAGAGGAUGAUCAGCCACACUGGGACUGAGACACGGCCCAGACUCCUACGGGAGGCAGCAGUAGGGAAUAUUGCACAAUGGGCGAAAGCCUGAUGCAGCAACGCCGCGUGCGGGAAGAAGGCCCUAGGGUUGUAAACCUCUUUUAGCAGGGAAGAAGCGAAAGUGACGGUACCUGCAGAAAAAGCACCGGCUAACUACGUGCCAGCAGCCGCGGUAAUACGUAGGGAGCGAGCGUUGUCCGGAAUUAUUGGGCGUAAAGAGCUCGUAGGCGGUUCAGUAAGUCGGGUGUGAAAACUCAAGGCUCAACCUUGAGACGCCACUCGAUACUGCUGUGACUUGAGUCCGGUAGAGGAGUGUGGAAUUCCUGGUGUAGCGGUGAAAUGCGCAGAUAUCAGGAGGAACACCAGCGGCGAAGGCGGCACUCUGGGCCGGUACUGACGCUGAGGAGCGAAAGCAUGGGGAGCAAACAGGAUUAGAUACCCUGGUAGUCCAUGCCGUAAACGUUGGGCACUAGGUAUGGGAUCAUAUCAACGGAUUCCGUGCCGUAGCUAACGCAUUAAGUGCCCCGCCUGGGGAGUACGG
This 640-nucleotide ribosomal RNA is filed under the name uncultured Actinomycetes bacterium. RNAcentral's name for it is "bacterial SSU rRNA". It matches the Rfam family "Bacterial small subunit ribosomal RNA", at positions 234 to 885 of the family's 1533-position model. The record is from RNAcentral. Lineage: Bacteria; Bacillati; Actinomycetota; Actinomycetes.